Non-coding RNA from Yokenella regensburgei ATCC 43003, 207 nucleotides. Lineage: Bacteria; Pseudomonadati; Pseudomonadota; Gammaproteobacteria; Enterobacterales; Enterobacteriaceae. The record is from Rfam.
ACUUCCUGAGCCGGAACGAAGAGCUUUUAUCGGAAUGCGUGUUCUGAUGGGCUUUUGGCUUACGGUUGUGAUGUUGUGUUGUUGUGUUUGCAAUUGGUCUGCGAUUCAGACCAUGGUAGCAAGGCUACCCUAUUUUCACUUCCUGUACAUUUACCCUGUCUGUCCAUAGUGAUUAAUGUAGCACCGCAAACUGCGGUGCUUUUUUUU